UGGAAUAUUUGCCAAGCUUAUUUCCUUGGGU
Molecule: non-coding RNA, 31 nt
Filed under: Rattus norvegicus (Norway rat)
Lineage: Eukaryota; Metazoa; Chordata; Mammalia; Rodentia; Muridae
Source: RNAcentral